CUCAUUCAAUCUUCAUUUACGGAACCUAAAGAACAAUAGAUUUCAGUGUUUCUUCUCAGUGAAUAAUCCAUGGAAUCAACGGCUCAACGUCGCCUGAAAGCAAUUCAGGGUCAUCUUCUAUCCACGUCUGAGGAUUCAGAGUCGCAGCUUUCUCGGAACGCCACUGCCGGGGAGUUCGUCCAGGGGCAGGGUUACAGUGUGGUUCUUCCGGAAAAAUUGCAAUCAGGAAAGUGGAAUGUGUACAGGUCGGCACGCUCUCCAUUGAAGCUUGUGAGUAGAUUUGAGGAUCGUCCUAAAAUUGGAACUUUGCACGAUAACUUUGUGCAUGCAGUUGAGAAUUUCCAAGAUUGCAAGUAUUUGGGUACCCGAAUCCGGGUGGAUGGAACAGUUGGAGAGUACAAAUGGAUGACAUAUGGAGAAGCAGGUACUGCUCGGUCAGCAAUAGGUUCUGGUUUAAUAUAUCAUGGGAUACCUAAGGGAUCUUCCAUUGGACUAUACUUCAUAAACAGACCGGAGUGGCUUAUUGUUGAUCAUGCUUGCUCAGCAUAUUCAUACAUCUCAGUUCCUUUAUAUGAUACUCUAGGGCCAGAUGCUGUUAAAUUUGUUGUAAAUCAUGCUGUUAUACAAGCUAUUUUUUGCGUCCCACAGACAUUGAACAUUUUGCUGAGCUUCUUCUCUGAGAUGCCAUCAGUACGUCUGAUAGUGGUAGUUGGAGGAAUAGAUGGACACAUGCCAUCACUUCCCUCAACAACUGGAGUUGAAGUUAUAUCGUAUUCAAAACUACUUAUGCAGGGCCGCAGUAAUAUUCAGCCUUUUUCUCCUCCAAAACCAGAGGAUAUUGCGACCAUCUGCUAUACGAGUGGAACAACUGGGACACCAAAGGGGGCUAUGUUAACACAUGGGAAUUUGAUAGCAAAUGUUGCUGGUGUCAUUCUUGGUAUCAAAUUCUGCCCUUCAGACGUUUACAUCUCCUAUCUUCCUUUGGCACACAUUUUUGAGCGAGCUAACCAAGUUAUGAUUGUUUAUUGUGGAGUCGCUGUUGGUUUUUACCAAGGGGAUAAUUUGAAACUGAUGGAUGAUAUGGCGGCUCUGAGACCGACAGUUUUUUGUAGUGUUCCUCGACUGUAUAACAGAAUUUAUUCUGGCAUUACAAAUGCUGUGAAGACUUCGGGGUCUCUAAGAGAAAGGCUAUUUAAUGCUGCUUACAAUUCCAAGAAGCAAGCGAUAGCAAAUGGAAGGAAUCCAUCACCCAUAUGGGACAGAUUGGUAUUCAAUAAAAUAAAGGAGAAAUUAGGAGGACGAGUAAGGCUUAUGGUUUCUGGUGCCUCACCAUUGUCUCCUGAUGUCAUGGACUUUUUGAGGGUAUGCUUUGGCUGUCGAGUAGCUGAAGGAUAUGGGAUGACUGAGGGUUCUUGUACUAUAAGUUUCAUGGAAGAGGGUGACAUCUUAUCUGGUCACGUUGGCCCACCUAGCUCAGCUUGUGAAGUAAAGCUCGUAGAUGUUCCAGAGAUGAAUUAUUCUUCUGAGGAUCAGCCCUAUCCUCGUGGUGAGAUCUGUGUCAGGGGUCCCAUUGUUUUCCGAGGAUACUAUAAAGACGAAGUGCAGACAAAAGAAGUAAUUGAUGAGGAUAGUUGGCUGCAUACUGGAGAUAUAGGGUUGUGGUUACCUGGAGGGCGCCUGAAGAUUAUUGAUAGGAAAAAGAAUAUUUUUAAGUUGGCUCAAGGUGAGUAUAUAGCACCAGAGAAGAUUGAGAAUGUAUAUGCCAAGUGCAAAUUUGUUGCCCAGUGUUUUGUAUAUGGUGAUAGUUUGAACUCCUCCUUAGUAGUGAUUGUCUCAGUGGAUCCAGAUGUUUUGAAGGCCUGGGCUACUUCUGCUAACAUAAAGUAUGAUGAUUUGGGACAGCUGUGCAAUGACCCAAGAGCAAGAGCAGCUGUCCUUGCUGACAUGGAUGCUCUUGGGAGGGAAGCUCAGUUGCGAGGUUUUGAAUUUGCAAAAGCAGUUACUUUAGUGCCAGAACCAUUCACCGUGGAGAGUGGUCUUCUCACUCCAACAUUGAAGAUAAAGAGACCUCAAGCAAAGGCUUACUUCGCUAAAGCAAUUUCUGACAUGUAUGCCGAGCUUUCUACAUCUGACCCAACACCUCAGAAAAUAUUGUAAACUGAAGGUUGUCAUGAAUGGUGGAAUAAAGAAUAAAAGUCAAGCCUUCCAGUACAGCUGAAGGAAGAAGCUCGGCCAAACUAUGAAGGCAACUCAUGCCCUAUUUUAUGCUGCAUGGCAAGUCGGCUGGGGCAAUCUGAACUGUUGAACAGGAAAAAGACAUACUGUAUAGGUCUUGUGUCAAAAUUCGUGUUUUAACUCAAUUGGAUGGCCCACCAUGUUUUCUGGAUUUCCAUCAUUUUUUUCACCAUAUUACAGAAUCAUUCAAUCUUUUGUGGUUUUACUUACUGGAUUUGACAUGGAAGGGUUCACUUGGGCCUAAAAUUGACA
Telopea speciosissima is the source of this 2487-nucleotide RNA transcript. It is a transcript of the gene named long chain acyl-CoA synthetase 6, peroxisomal-like, with no coding region annotated. Lineage: Eukaryota; Viridiplantae; Streptophyta; Magnoliopsida; Proteales; Proteaceae. The record is from RefSeq and is a predicted model, not a curated record. The transcript is spliced from 24 exons.